UACGUAGGGUGCAAGCGUUAAUCGGAAUUACUGGGCGUAAAGCGUGCGCGGGCGGCUUUGCAAGACAGAUGUGAAAUCCCCGGGCUUAACUUGGGAAUUGCGCUCGAAACUACGUGGCUGGAGUGUGGCAGAGGGAGGUGGAAUUCCACGUGUAGCGGUGAAAUGCGUAGAGAUGUGGAGGAACACCAAUGGCGAAGGCAGCCUCCUGGGCCAACACUGACACUCAUGCACGAAAGCGUGGGGAGCAAACAGG
Molecule: ribosomal RNA, 253 nt
Filed under: uncultured bacterium
Lineage: Bacteria
Description: partial 16S ribosomal RNA
Rfam family: Bacterial small subunit ribosomal RNA
Source: RNAcentral